CCUACGGGUGGCAGCAGUGGGGGAUAUUGCACAAUGGGGGAAACCCUGAUGCAGCGACGCCGCGUGGGCGAAGAAGUAUUUCGGUAUGUAAAGCCCUAUCAGCAGGGAAGAAGGAAUGACGGUACCUGAGUAAGAAGCACCGGCUAAAUACGUGCCAGCAGCCGCGGUAAUACGUAUGGUGCAAGCGUUAUCCGGAUUUACUGGGUGUAAAGGGAGCGUAGACGGCAGUGCAAGUCUGGAGUGAAACGCGGGGGCUCAACCCCCGGACUGCUCUGGAAACUGUACGGCUGGAGUGCAGGAGAGGUAAGUGGAAUUCCUAGUGUAGCGGUGAAAUGCGUAGAUAUUAGGAGGAACACCAGUGGCGAAGGCGGCUUACUGGACUGUAACUGACGUUGAGGCUCGAAAGCGUGGGGAGCAAACAGGAUUAGAUACCCUAGUAGUC
This 442-nucleotide ribosomal RNA is filed under the name uncultured bacterium. RNAcentral describes it as "partial 16S ribosomal RNA". It matches the Rfam family "Bacterial small subunit ribosomal RNA", at positions 338 to 795 of the family's 1533-position model. The record is from RNAcentral.